RNAcentral lists this ribosomal RNA (465 nucleotides) under Vreelandella stevensii. RNAcentral's name for it is "partial 16S ribosomal RNA". It matches the Rfam family "Bacterial small subunit ribosomal RNA", at positions 338 to 795 of the family's 1533-position model. The record is from RNAcentral. Lineage: Bacteria; Pseudomonadati; Pseudomonadota; Gammaproteobacteria; Oceanospirillales; Halomonadaceae.
CCUACGGGUGGCUGCAGUGGGGAAUAUUGGACAAUGGGGGCAACCCUGAUCCAGCCAUGCCGCGUGUGUGAAGAAGGCCCUCGGGUUGUAAAGCACUUUCAGUGAGGAAGAACGCCUGGUGGUUAAUACCCAUCAGGAAAGACAUCACUCACAGAAGAAGCACCGGCUAACUCCGUGCCAGCAUCCGCGGUAAUACGGAGGGUGCGAGCGUUAAUCGGAAUUACUGGGCGUAAAGCGCGCGUAGGUGGCUUGAUAAGCCGGUUGUGAAAGCCCCGGGCUCAACCUGGGAACGGCAUCCGGAACUGUCAAGCUAGAGUGCAGGAGAGGAAGGUAGAAUUCCCGGUGUAGCGGUGAAAUGCGUAGAGAUCGGGAGGAAUACCAGUGGCGAAGGCGGCCUUCUGGACUGACACUGACACUGAGGUGCGAAAGCGUGGGUAGCAAACAGGAUUAGAUACCCUGGUAGUC